RNAcentral lists this ribosomal RNA (586 nucleotides) under uncultured bacterium. RNAcentral's name for it is "partial 16S ribosomal RNA". It matches the Rfam family "Bacterial small subunit ribosomal RNA", at positions 355 to 1375 of the family's 1533-position model. The record is from RNAcentral.
UGGGGAAUUUUGGACAAUGGGCGAAAGCCUGAUCCAGCAAUGCCGCGUGUGUGAAGAAGGCCUUCGGGUUGUAAAGCACUUUUGUCCGGAAAGAAAUCCUUGGCUCUAAUACAGUCGGUGGAUGACGGUACCGGAAGAAUAAGCACCGGCUAACUACGUGCCAGCAGCCGCGGUAAUACGUAGGGGUGCAAGCGUUAAUCGGAAUUACUGGGCGUAAAGCGUGCGCAGGCGGUUUGCUAAGACCGAUGUGAAAUCCCCGGGCUCAACCUGGGAACUGCAUUGGUGACUGGCAGGCUAGAGUAUGGCAGAGGGGGGUAGAAUUCCACGUGUAGCAGUGAAAUGCGUAGAGAUGUGGAGGAAUACCGAUGGCGAAGGCAGCCCCCUGGGCCAAUACUGACGCUCAUGCACGAAAGCGUGGGGAGCAAACAGGAUUAGAUACCCUGGUAGUCCACGCCCUAAACGAUGUCAACUAGUUGUUGGGGAUUCAUUUCCUUAGUAACGUAGCUAACGCGUGAAGUUGACCGCCUGGGGAGUACGGUCGCAAGAUUAAAACUCAAAUGAAUUGACGGGGUCAUAGCUGUUUCCU